RNAcentral lists this ribosomal RNA (413 nucleotides) under uncultured bacterium. RNAcentral's name for it is "bacterial SSU rRNA". It matches the Rfam family "Bacterial small subunit ribosomal RNA", at positions 8 to 425 of the family's 1533-position model. The record is from RNAcentral.
AGAGUUUGAUCCUGGCUCAGAUUGAACGCUGGCGGCAUGCCUUACACAUGCAAGUCGAACGGUAACAGGUCUUCGGAUGCUGACGAGUGGCGAACGGGUGAGUAAUACAUCGGAACGUGCCCGAGAGUGGGGGAUAACGGAGCGAAAGCUUUGCUAAUACCGCAUACGAUCUACGGAUGAAAGCAGGGGACCGCAAGGCCUUGCGCUCAUGGAGCGGCCGAUGGCAGAUUAGGUAGUUGGUGGGAUAAAAGCUUACCAAGCCGACGAUCUGUAGCUGGUCUGAGAGGACGACCAGCCACACUGGGACUGAGACACGGCCCAGACUCCUACGGGAGGCAGCAGUGGGGAAUUUUGGACAAUGGGCGCAAGCCUGAUCCAGCCAUGCCGCGUGCAGGAUGAAGGCCUUCGGGUUG